Molecule: long non-coding RNA, 420 nt
Organism: Oryzias melastigma (Indian medaka)
Lineage: Eukaryota; Metazoa; Chordata; Actinopteri; Beloniformes; Adrianichthyidae
Exons: 2
Source: RefSeq, a predicted model, not a curated record
AUCCAUUCCAUUCCAUUCCAAUCCUAUCUGACCUGACCUGACCUGACCUGACCUGGCCUGGCCUGGCCUGUUCAAACCUGACCUGUUUCUGCCUCACGACCACCCGUUCAGCCUGCUCCCCUUUUGCCUUUUGUGAGUACCUUCUCUACAUUUCUCCUGGAUUGAUUCCCGUGUACCAGACCUUCCUUCAGCCUUGGACCUCCCUUCUGGACCACGGACAUUUCACCCCCUCCUCCUCCUCCCUUUGCUGCUGUGUUUCCUGUUGCCUCAUCCUGAGCAGAGAUCACACUCCAAUCCUCCCAGCCACUACUCCACCUUAAAGACAAGUUCUGCACUUCCUGGUGGCUGGAGGAGAUCCCUACACUGACUCACCUGUUCCUGCUUAUCCUCCUGCAGCCUUCAAUAAAUAUUUAUAAUCUG